UGAGGAAUCUUGCGCAAUGGGGGAACCCUUGACGCAGCAACGCCCCGUGGGUGAGGAAGGUCUUCGGUUCGUAAAGCCCUUUCAGUUGGAAAGAAUUGUUUGAGAGUAAAUACUUUUCAGGCUUACCGGUACCACCAGAGGAAGCACCGGCUAACUCCGUGCCAGCAGCGGCGGUAAUACGGGGGGUGCAGGCGUUGUUCGGAUUUAUGGGGCGUAAAGAGCGUGUGGGCGGCGGGAUAUGUCAGAUGUGAAAGCCCCGGGCUUAACCCGGGAAGUGCAUUUGAAACUGUCCGGCUCGAGUAGGGGAGAGGGAAGUGGAAUUCCUGGUGUAGAGGUGAAAUUCGUAGAUAUCAGGAGGAACACCGGUGGCGAAGGCGACUUCCUGGCCCUAUACUGACGCUGAGACGCGAGAGCGUGGGUAGCAAACAG
RNAcentral lists this ribosomal RNA (429 nucleotides) under uncultured bacterium. Its description in RNAcentral is "bacterial SSU rRNA". It matches the Rfam family "Bacterial small subunit ribosomal RNA", at positions 355 to 775 of the family's 1533-position model. The record is from RNAcentral.